RNAcentral lists this long non-coding RNA (2178 nucleotides) under Heterocephalus glaber (naked mole-rat). RNAcentral describes it as "lncRNA (ENSHGLG00000034548.1)". Lineage: Eukaryota; Metazoa; Chordata; Mammalia; Rodentia; Bathyergidae. The record is from RNAcentral.
AAAAAAAAAAAAAAAAAAAGAAAGGAGCUCAAGAACCCUGUGCAGCCCCAAGAAGAGACUCCAGAGUCUGUCCUAUCUCCCUGUCCUGCCUCAGUUUCUCUCAUACCUUCUUGCCUUCCUGGAUCAGGGAAUAGUCCCUUUGUGUACUCCACAACCCACACAGCUGGGCCUCCACCCAAGCCCCGCCGCUCUAAGAAAGGUGAGUAAGACCCCAUCUCUCGCAGGUGCCUGUGAUGGACCGUGUUGAGGGGGAGUUUGAGGUGGCACUGUUUGACUCUCUGGGGAGACACCUGUAGGAUUUUGAGCAAAUAAAGGGAAUCGGAAGAGACCUUCACCCAUAUCCACCCCCUCCAGUGGGGCUUCAUUCUGGUGGGAAUGGGGGAUUGCUUGCCAGGAUUUCUGUUCCCCAAAGCACCAGCCUGCAAAUUCUGUGCAGCCAUGCACACUUACAUUUUCUGGGCCUUAGUUCACUCCCCAAACCAAAGGGUUGUGCCAGUGGACUCUGGGCACCCUUCCCCUCCCACGUCCCUCCUGAGGGUGUGAGCGUCCUGCCUGCCCUUUACCACCUCCAGCCUGGAACGAAGCAGGAAGGGCGGGAUGGGGCUCAGAGGCAUCUUUCUCCACAGCAGAGUUGGAAGGCCCUGCUCAGCCCUUCGCAGGUCCCCCCAAGGUGGUUGCCUCUGCUGCCCUGAAAGCUCCCCACCCCAUGGUAGCUGCAUUUGACUACAACCCCGGGAAAACUCCCCCUAAUAUGGACGUGGAGGCAGAGCUGCCCUUCAGGGCGGGAGAUGUCAUCACUGUGUUUGGGAGCAUGGAUGACGAUGGUUUCUACUAUGGAGAACUGAAUGGACAGAGGGGCCUGGUUCCAUCCAACUUCCUGGGGCCCCCGGGCCUGAGGUAGGCAGCCCAGACAGGGAACCCAGGACACCCCAGGCAGAGAGUCAGAGAACGAGGAGGAGAAGAGUCCAGUGCUAGAUGGAGAUAGAUAUAUGUAGAGAGAGCAACAUGACUGGAUUGGUGCACGAGGACCCGAAGUGCCCCUGGGGCUGGCACUGCUCCUCCAGCCCUGGCAGCCUCCCCAGGACCGAACUGGGGGGCCGCAGGAGCACAGUUGAGAAGGUGCUGGGGUCUCCUGUCCAAAGGGAAGCAGCUCCUCAGGAAACUGGGCUCUGGGAGGAAGGAGUGAAGCUGUGGCCCUUUCUGGAGUGGCCCCUGGAGACACCCAGGUCACUGCUGUGGCUGGACAGGGGAGGCCCUGCCCCGUCCCAGAGCUCCUGGUCUUUGUAGCGUUAACACAGUGGCACUUGGAUGGGAAUCAAAGAGAAUUGGUGAAGGUGGGAGCCUAGGGUGGGUCUUGAGGGGUGCGUCCUCUAGCUGGGCCCCUUCCCCUUGUAGGAGGGAAACUCCUCCCCGCAGUGAGUAACCUGACCGAGCUCACGGAGCCCCAGUGAGACCAGGAUGGGACUCAGGUCUCUUGACUCCCAGUCCACCCACCUAGUCCAAUCCUAGUUUCCCACCAGGCUGUGUAGGUCCCUUCUUUGACCCUCUCUGUACCCAGGACGGAACCCUGAGGGGAGAAGGGGCCUGUCUCCACAGUGGCUCUGGCUGUCCUGAUUGGAAAGCUUGCAUUGGAGUCUCCCGUGGGGGCGGCGGGCGGAACCUUGUAUAUAUGUACAUACUCAGUGCCUCACUCCAGCCCCUCCAUUGCGCCUCAGCCUCCACCGCACAGGCUGGGGAGGGAGAGGGCCAGGCCGGGAAGCGGGCCUCACCCCGCCCCGCUGUGCUCCACCCCUCCCUGCCCCGCCGCCUGGCCCCUGUGCACCCUCCUUGAAACCCAGGGGACCAGGGGGCAGAAAGCAGGAGUUGGGUUUGCCUUAUUUUGCUCAUUGGAUUCAACUUCUCUUUUGCAUUGUUUUCCUCUGACCCCUGUGGGUGUCCAGGGGCUGAGAAUAAGGACAGAUUUAUGCAGCUAUUUUCAUACAUUCCCUGUUCAGAGUGGGUAGGGGCUUCUCCACCCUUCCCAAGCUGCCCAUCCCUCACCCUGGCUGGGUGAAUGUCUCUCUGCAUGUUUCUUUCGCUGUGGUGGGAGAUUGUUUAGAACCCCGCCUCCAUCCUGGUCUCCAGGGGUGUGGAAUGGUGGAGGCAUUUGUUUAAAAAGACAUUUUAUUAUAAUAAAGU